AUGCUUGAUGUGCCAGAGCCUCAAGUUCCCUACAUCUACAUGGUGGCCCAACAUUUAACCUGGAGCAGCAAAUUCUGUUUGUGUUUCAACCCCGCCGUUCCCUCCCGCUUUGUGGUUUUCGCGUUCGUUGAGAGAGGCCACACCAUAGUGGCAGUAAGGGUCUACUCAUCCGAUACCGGAGAAUGGACGUCCAAGGAGAGCGGUCGCCAUAUUGUGGAAUAUGGUGGUGAACCAGUAUACGACUUUUUCGACGAUACUCUGUAUCUCAGAGCCUAUGAUCAUGGAGAUGACAGGUUCUAUCCGAAGGGGAAACUAAUACCCUCGAUAUUUACAGUGAACACGGACGGGGAUACUUGGAGGAGAAUUCCAAUGCCACCCCAAGUUCAUUUUUCUUUCAUUGGGCACGCUCAGGGACACUUAUACGGUCUGGACAUAGAGCAUGUUAAUGAUUGCAUGCUAUCGGUUUGGGUUCUCAAGGAUUAUGCUAGUGGAAUGUGGACCUUAAAACAUACUGCCAGCAUCUUGAAACUGCUAGGAAGGUCUUAUCGUGAGCUCGGUGAACAAUAUAUGGUGGCUGCGGUCCAUCCAGAAUGUAACCUGAUCUUCCUUGUUGGUUGGAUGAGAUCGCAAGAGACACUUAUGUCAUAUGAUAUGGAUAGUCAGAAACUGCACGUUAUCUGCACUCUUGACGAUUACCAGAUGUCAACGCUCCGACCUUACAUUCCCUGCUUUGCGGAAUGGCCGCCGUCAAAUGCUCAUUGA
This 762-nucleotide ribosomal RNA is filed under the name Triticum aestivum (bread wheat). Its description in RNAcentral is "partial small subunit ribosomal RNA". The record is from RNAcentral. Lineage: Eukaryota; Viridiplantae; Streptophyta; Magnoliopsida; Poales; Poaceae.